This 487-nucleotide ribosomal RNA is filed under the name uncultured bacterium. RNAcentral describes it as "bacterial SSU rRNA". It matches the Rfam family "Bacterial small subunit ribosomal RNA", at positions 28 to 494 of the family's 1533-position model. The record is from RNAcentral.
GACGAACGCUGGCGGCGUGCUUAACACAUGCAAGUCGAACGGGAUCCAUACGUUGGAGUCUUCGGACGAAGAUGUAUGGUGAGAGUGGCGGACGGGCGAGUAACGCGUGAGCAACCUGCCCUAUGCAGGGGGAUAACACCGGGAAACUGGUGCUAAUACCGCAUAAGACCACACUGGCACAUGUCAGAGUGGUAAAAGCUCCGGCGGCAUAGGAUGGGCUCGCGUCCAAUUAGCUUGUUGGUGGGUAAAGGCCUACCAAGUCAGCGAUCGGAGCCGGACUGAGAGGUUGAACGGCCACAUUGGGACUGAGACACGGCCCAGACUCCUACGGGAGGCAGCAGUGGGGAAUCUUGGACAAUGGGCGCAAGCCUGAUCCAGCCAUGCCGCGUGAGUGAAGAAGGUCUUCGGAUUGUAAAGCUCUUUCGGCGGGGAAGAAAUUGCUCAGGAUAAUACCUUGAGUAGAUGACGUACCCGCAUAAGAAGCACC